This 1433-nucleotide ribosomal RNA is filed under the name uncultured organism. RNAcentral describes it as "16S ribosomal RNA". It matches the Rfam family "Bacterial small subunit ribosomal RNA". The record is from RNAcentral.
CAGGCUUAACACAUGCAAGUCGAGGGGCAGCAUCAUCAAAGCUUGCUUUGAUGGAUGGCGACCGGCGCACGGGUGAGUAACACGUAUCCAACCUGCCGACAACACUGGGAUAGCCUUUCGAAAGAAAGAUUAAUACCGGAUGGUAUAGUUUUCCCGCAUGGGAUAAUUAUUAAAGAAUUUCGGUUGUCGAUGGGGAUGCGUUCCAUUAGGCAGUUGGCGGGGUAACGGCCCACCAAACCUACGAUGGAUAGGGGUUCUGAGAGGAAGGUCCCCCACAUUGGAACUGAGACACGGUCCAAACUCCUACGGGAGGCAGCAGUGAGGAAUAUUGGUCAAUGGACGAGAGUCUGAACCAGCCAAGUAGCGUGAAGGAUGACUGCCCUAUGGGUUGUAAACUUCUUUUAUACGGGAAUAAAGUUAGCCACGUGUGGUUUUUUUGUAUGUACCGUAUGAAUAAGGAUCGGCUAACUCCGUGCCAGCAGCCGCGGUAAUACGGAGGAUCCGAGCGUUAUCCGGAUUUAUUGGGUUUAAAGGGAGCGUAGGCGGGUUGUUAAGUCAGUUGUGAAAGUUUGCGGCUCAACCGUAAAAUUGCAGUUGAUACUGGCGACCUUGAGUGCAACAGAGGUAGGCGGAAUUCGUGGUGUAGCGGUGAAAUGCUUAGAUAUCACGAAGAACUCCGAUUGCGAAGGCAGCUUACUGGAUUGUAACUGACGCUGAUGCUCGAAAGUGUGGGUAUCAAACAGGAUUAGAUACCCUGGUAGUCCACACAGUAAACGAUGAAUACUCGCUGUUGGCGAUAUACAGUCAGCGGCCAAGCGAAAGCAUUAAGUAUUCCACCUGGGGAGUACGCCGGCAACGGUGAAACUCAAAGGAAUUGACGGGGGCCCGCACAAGCGGAGGAACAUGUGGUUUAAUUCGAUGAUACGCGAGGAACCUUACCCGGGCUUAAAUUGCAACUGACGGAACCGGAAACGGUUCUUUCUUCGGACAGUUGUGAAGGUGCUGCAUGGUUGUCGUCAGCUCGUGCCGUGAGGUGUCGGCUUAAGUGCCAUAACGAGCGCAACCCUUACGGGUAGUUACCAUCAGGUUAUGCUGGGGACUCUACCCGGACUGCCGUCGUAAGAUGUGAGGAAGGUGGGGAUGACGUCAAAUCAGCACGGCCCUUACGUCCGGGGCUACACACGUGUUACAAUGGGGGGUACAGAAGGCAGCUACACGGCGACGUGGUGCUAAUCCCAAAAGCCUCUCUCAGUUCGGAUUGGAGUCUGCAACCCGACUCCAUGAAGCUGGAUUCGCUAGUAAUCGCGCAUCAGCCACGGCGCGGUGAAUACGUUCCCGGGCCUUGUACACACCGCCCGUCAAGCCAUGAAAGCCGGGGGUACCUGAAGUACGUAACCGCGAGGAGCGUCCUAGGGUAAAACUGGUGAUUGGGG